Non-coding RNA from Podarcis lilfordi (Lilford's wall lizard), 74 nucleotides. NCBI's taxonomy places the organism in Eukaryota, Metazoa, Chordata, Lepidosauria, Squamata, Lacertidae. The record is from the annotation of a GenBank genome assembly.
GCUAGGAUAGCUCAGUCAGUAGAGCAUGAGACUCUUAAAUCUCAGGGUCGUGGGUUUGAGCCCAGUGUUGGGCA